AACGAACGCUGGCGGCGUGGAUAAGACAUGCAAGUCGAACGUGAUUUUUCCGAGUAGCAAUACCUGGUAAAGUUCAGUGGCGAACGGGUGCGUAACACGUGGGCAAUCUGCCUUAAAGUGGGGGAUAGCUCGGCGAAAGCCGAAUUAAUACCGCAUGUGAUUAGCCAGGACAUCUUGGCGAAAUCAAAGUUGGUGCAAGCUAACGCUUUUUGUAGGAGCCCGCGGCCUAUCAGCUAGUUGGUGAGAUAACGGCUCACCAAGGCUUUGACGGGUAGGCUGGUCUGAGAGGACGACCAGUCACACUGGAACUGAGACACGGCCCAGACACCUACGGGUGGCAGCAGUCGAGAAUUUUUCUUCAAUGGGGCAACCCUGAAGGAGCGACGCCGCGUGGAGGAUGAAGG
This 404-nucleotide ribosomal RNA is filed under the name uncultured bacterium. Its description in RNAcentral is "bacterial SSU rRNA". It matches the Rfam family "Bacterial small subunit ribosomal RNA", at positions 29 to 414 of the family's 1533-position model. The record is from RNAcentral.